RNAcentral lists this small RNA (497 nucleotides) under Pan troglodytes (chimpanzee). RNAcentral's name for it is "retained intron". The record is from RNAcentral. Lineage: Eukaryota; Metazoa; Chordata; Mammalia; Primates; Hominidae.
CCCAAACAGAUUCUAGUCUUCCUAUGCUGUUAAACACACACUGAGAAUUUUCCUGGACAACACUGAUAGCUCAGAGGACACUGGUCAUUGGAUUUUAAGUAUCCUUUUCUUCCCUUUUUGGAUCUUCUAGGAAUACCUGAACAGUAUUUUGCAACAUGCAAAAGAUUUUAAGGAAUAUCAUCGGUCUGUGGCCGGGAAGAUCCAGAAGCUCUCCAAAGCAGUGGCAACUUGGCAUGCCAACACUGAAAGAGAGCAGAAGAAGGAGACAGAGCGGAUUGAAAAGGAGAGAAUGCGGCGACUGAUGGCUGAAGAUGAGGAGGGUUAUAGAAAACUGAUUGAUCAAAAGAAAGACAGGCGUUUAGCUUACCUUUUGCAGCAGACCGAUGAGUAUGUAGCCAAUCUGACCAAUCUGGUUUGGGAGCACAAGCAAGCCCAGGCAGCCAAAGAGAAGAAGAAGAGAAGGAGGAGGAAGAAGGUGCGUAUCCUAGUGGUGGUGG